UGAGCAAAUAAAAGGGUUGAAAAUGUUG
RNAcentral lists this non-coding RNA (28 nucleotides) under Mus musculus (house mouse). Lineage: Eukaryota; Metazoa; Chordata; Mammalia; Rodentia; Muridae. The record is from RNAcentral.